AUGGACAAAUCACGAGGGUAUCUUCACUCUUCUUGCCUAUUAUCUUCUCUCUUUGAAUAUCCACCUUCACCUCUGAACCUCCGGCUUCAACCGUUCUCAACAAAAAAACUUAGAACCUUUCAUCAUCAUCUUCUCCGAUCUACACCUCAACCUCCGAUCUACUUCAUCACCCGGCAUCAGCAUCAUCGUGGAUGCACGCUACUUCCUUCAUCUUUGUCUUUAUAUGAUUCACAUUAA
Vicia faba (fava bean) is the source of this 237-nucleotide non-coding RNA. The record is from the annotation of a GenBank genome assembly. NCBI's taxonomy places the organism in Eukaryota, Viridiplantae, Streptophyta, Magnoliopsida, Fabales, Fabaceae.